This 460-nucleotide ribosomal RNA is filed under the name uncultured bacterium. RNAcentral describes it as "partial 16S ribosomal RNA". It matches the Rfam family "Bacterial small subunit ribosomal RNA", at positions 338 to 795 of the family's 1533-position model. The record is from RNAcentral.
CCUACGGGUGGCAGCAGUGAGGAAUAUUGGUCAAUGGACGCAAGCCUGAACCAGCCAUGCCGCGUGCAGGAAGACGGCUCUAUGAGUUGUAAACUGCUUUUGUACGAGGGUAAACGCAGAUACGCGUAUCUGUCUGAAAGUAUCGUACGAAUAAGGAUCGGCUAACUCCGUGCCAGCAGCCGCGGUAAUACGGAGGAUUCAAGCGUUAUCCGGAUUUAUUGGGUUUAAAGGGUGCGUAGGCGGUCGGAUAAGUUAGAGGUGAAAUCCCGAGGCUCAACUUCGGAAUUGCCUCUGAUACUGUUCGGCUAGAGAGUAGUAGAGGUAGGCGGAAUGUAUGGUGUAGCGGUGAAAUGCGUAGAGAUCAUACAGAACACCGAUUGCGAAGGCAGCUUACCAAGCUACUUCUGACGUUGAGGCACGAAAGCGUGGGGAGCAAACAGGAUUCGAUACCCCAGUAGUC